RNAcentral lists this ribosomal RNA (197 nucleotides) under uncultured bacterium. Its description in RNAcentral is "partial 16S ribosomal RNA". It matches the Rfam family "Bacterial small subunit ribosomal RNA", at positions 1296 to 1500 of the family's 1533-position model. The record is from RNAcentral.
GACUGGAGUCUGCAACCCGACUCCACGAAGUUGGAUUCGCUAGUAAUCGCGCAUCAGCCAUGGCGCGGUGAAUACGUUCCCGGGCCUUGUACACACCGCCCGUCAAGCCAUGGGAGCCGGGGGCGCCUGAAGUCCGGGACCGCGAGGACCGGCCUAGGGCGAAACUGGUGACUGGGGCUAAGUCGUAACAAGGUAGC